Long non-coding RNA from Magnolia sinica, 2501 nucleotides. RefSeq lists it as uncharacterized. Lineage: Eukaryota; Viridiplantae; Streptophyta; Magnoliopsida; Magnoliales; Magnoliaceae. The record is from RefSeq and is a predicted model, not a curated record. The transcript has 4 exons.
GGCAAUUGUCCAGGAUACUCUGAAGAACAUGAGGUAACAGAACCUCUAGCAACUACAGAACUAGUAUGGUUUAUCGCCUCUGCUUUAUUGGCUCUACCCAUUGUAUUUCUUUAUAGGGUGUUAUCAGCCAUUUUCUGUAAAAAGCCAGGGAAACCUACCCAGAAUGCCGAUGUGAAUCAUGCACCUCGCAGGCACAAGCGCAGGCAUGCUGACAAGUAGAGUGCCUUGACGUAUUUGGAUUUAGGCUUUGUUGUAUUUAAAUUGAAGCUGUUUUUGAGUGAGCCACUAUCUACACCCACCCUGAUUGAUACGGGAUCAACAUUUAAAGAAUCGUCUGAAAUUGCCUGAUACAUACUGGUAUCGCCCAUGAACAAUACUGGUGUGUCAGCCCUGUUUAGGCCCAAAACAGUCCGAUACAGGGUGAUACACAGUGCUACAUAGAAGUAUCAGCAGUGAAUAAUACGUUACGUAAUACACCGAUUUAAACCUUGUAAUUGGGUGCUUCCCUUUCUACUAUUGUCAAUACAAUAGUACUGUACCGUUGUAUUACCAAAAGUCAAAAGAAAAGGAUGCCAUCAUUAACCAGGGUGGGUAUAGACAUCAACUGACUUCUAGGAAACCCAGAAUAUUUGGUGAAUGCUUCAGACAUGCUGACGAGACAUGGAUAUGGUGGGAAAACAAUUAGCAUAAUGUUAUGAGGCCUGGCAAUGGGCUGGGCCCUGGCCUGGUUUUGAACUGGUUGGGCCUGGCCUUCUGACUGGCUCUAUUCAAUUGUUUUCCCUGGGUGCAGGCCCAGCCCAUUGUCAACCUUAAAUGUUGUUGUAAUAAUUGAAUUUUUUUAGGGAGGGAUUGUACUUGCUGGAAUUCAGAGAUUGAUAUUGAAGAUUUAGCAACCUCAUUUGGAUCUUGGAUGUAGAAUUUAACUGUUUAUAUUGUUGUGAAAGAUCCCACAAGAGGCUGGAGACUUGUGUGGAUGAACAAAACUAUACAUGAAAUUGGUUAUUUGUAGACUGCUCUAGCAGCUCUAUUUCUUCCAGCUUCAGGAAAACAUAUCCUAGACAAGGGCUCUUACAAUCAAAACCAUUUGAGCAUACCCAAAAUAGAAAACCAUAUAUAAUGAUGCUAAUGCCAUCGUACGCCUUACCCUAAUGCCUCAAAAAAUGACACCUUAAAACGAAGUGAUGAGGACAUUCGAGCACCAUUUAGAGUAUACCAGUGGAAGAGAGCUUUGGCCCUAGUUCCAGCAUAUCUAUGGUUGGAUGUUCAUCAUAUGGGGUCCGGAUCAAGUACUUAGCCAUGUUGGAAGACCUCACAUGCAUGUUUAUGCAUCUUUGAAAACCCUACACUGGAAAGAUGCAUAUGAGCUGCAUUAGGAGCUUAUUGAACACAUCUAGACUAUUCGAUUGAGUGGAUGUUUUCGUUGGAUUGUUGGAUUUCUCGCAUUGGAUCAUCCCGCCCGUUGGCUCAUCUUGAUCAUUGGGCCAUCUUGGCUACGGACAUCAUGGGACAUUAGUUUAGUUGUUUUCUUAGUUAUUUUAUUUAUUUUGUGGGUGUUUUUAUGUUUUAGUUGAUUUAGGAGGUAUUUUGGACAUAUUUUAGCAACAUGGGGUAUUUUGAAUGUUUUAGAAUAAUAAGGGUGUUUUGAUAAAAAUACCCUCAAAAGACUAUAAAGCCUGGGGCGUGUGAAUGCUCUAGGGUUGACAUGCAUUGAAUAAAAACUUCUCUUUUUGCUUGAGCAAAGGAAACCUCCUGUGAUUGGAGUGGUGUGAAGCCAUGGAGUGAAUCCAUCUUAUCUCUCUCUUUUCUCUUCUUUCAAGGAAAUAUUACAUAUCUCUCUCUCUCUCUCUCUCUCUCUCUCUCUCUCUCUCUCUCUCUCUUUUUCUUUAUUUUCCUUUUGCUUCCCUUUAAACCCAUCCCCAUCAUCUCCAAAAUCCAUCUAAACCUAAACCUAAACCUACCCUAGCCAUACAACCGUAUGGACUCCACCUUGACCAUACGACCGUACGUCCAUCUGUAUGGCUAACCCACCUCCUCCCAGUUUCCCUCCUUGAUCUUUGCUCCUUGCUCUUCUCUCUAAAACCCAUAACCCUAAGCCUAAAACCCUAAAGCCCAAUCCUACAACUUACAUUCCAUGAGCCCUAAUCCUAAACCUCAACUCUUUUUUUGAGCGACUAGAAAUAAAAUUUAUUGUAUGAAAGGCCAAGGCCAUAAUAUACAAAAAAACAAAAACUAGACAUCCACCCAAAGAGCCUUUAUGGCUCUACCCAACUGGCUGGAAAACGAUCUACGAUCUUCGUGGCAACUGCCCAUUCUAUUACAUGAAAUUUUGCCUUGGAAAACACUUCCUCAGCUCGACCCGACCGAUUUCUGAAAGUUCUAUCAUUUCUUUCCAACCAUAAGAGCCAUAACCCCGCCAACAAAGCAAGGUGCCAAACUUUUCACACCGGAAGCCCAUGCAUACCUUCAUGCCACAUGUAGAGAAAUGGACUGAUGCAACUUGG